Molecule: ribosomal RNA, 254 nt
Filed under: uncultured bacterium
Lineage: Bacteria
Description: partial 16S ribosomal RNA
Rfam family: Bacterial small subunit ribosomal RNA
Source: RNAcentral
UACGUAGGUGGCAAGCGUUGUCCGGAUUUACUGGGCGUAAAGGGCGUGCAGGCGGUUUGUUAAGUGCAGAGUGAAAGCUCCCGGCUCAACUGGGAGAGGUCUUUGCAUACUGGCAAACUCGAGGGAGGCAGAGGAAAGUGGAAUUCCCGGUGUAGUGGUGAUAUGCGUAGAUAUCGGGAGGAACACCUGUGGCGAAGGCGGCUUUCUGGGCCUUACCUGACGCUGAGACGCGAAAGCGUGGGGAGCGAACCGGG